GACGGAGGAUGCAAGCGUUAUCCGGAAUUAUUGGGCGUAAAGUGUGCGCAGGCGGCCGCGCAAGUCGAGUGUGAAAGCCCCGAGCUUAACUUGGGAAUUGCGCUCGAAACUACGUGGCUGGAGUGUGGCAGAGGAAGGUGGAAUUCCACGUGUAGCGGUGAAAUGCGUAGAGAUGUGGAGGAACACCAAUGGCGAAGGCAGCCUUCUGGGCCAACACUGACGCUCAUGCACGAAAGCGUGGGGAGCAAACAGG
RNAcentral lists this ribosomal RNA (253 nucleotides) under uncultured bacterium. RNAcentral describes it as "partial 16S ribosomal RNA". It matches the Rfam family "Bacterial small subunit ribosomal RNA", at positions 524 to 776 of the family's 1533-position model. The record is from RNAcentral.